RNAcentral lists this ribosomal RNA (473 nucleotides) under uncultured bacterium. RNAcentral describes it as "bacterial SSU rRNA". It matches the Rfam family "Bacterial small subunit ribosomal RNA", at positions 329 to 793 of the family's 1533-position model. The record is from RNAcentral.
CUACGCACUCCUACGGAGGCAGCAGUGGGGAAUAUUGCACAAUGGGCGCAAGCCUGAUGCAGCCAUGCCGCGUGUAUGAAGAAGGCCUUCGGGUUGUAAAGUACUUUCAGCAGUGAGGAAGGUGGGUAUGUUAAUAGCAUACUCAUUUGACCGUUAGCUGCAGAAGAAGCACCGGCUAACUCCGUGCCAGCAGCCGCGGUAAUACGGAGGGUGCGAGCGUUAAUCGGAAUUACUGGGCGUAAAGCGCAUGCAGGUGGUUUGUUAAGUCAGAUGUGAAAGCCCGGGGCUCAACCUCGGAAUUUGCAUUUGAAACUGGCAAACUAGAGUACUGUAGAGGGGGUAGAAUUUCAGGUGUAGCGGUGAAAUGCGUAGAGAUCUGAAGGAAUACCGGUGGCGAAGGCCGGCCCCCUGGACAGAUACUGACACUCAGAUGCGAAAGCGUGGGGAGCAAACAGGAUUAGAUACCCUGGUAG